RNAcentral lists this ribosomal RNA (535 nucleotides) under uncultured bacterium. Its description in RNAcentral is "partial 16S ribosomal RNA". It matches the Rfam family "Bacterial small subunit ribosomal RNA", at positions 355 to 883 of the family's 1533-position model. The record is from RNAcentral.
UGGGGAAUUUUGGACAAUGGGCGAAAGCCUGAUCCAGCAAUGCCGCGUGUGUGAAGAAGGCCUUCGGGUUGUAAAGCACUUUUGUCCGGAAAGAAAUCCUUGGCUCUAAUACAGUCGGGGGAUGACGGUACCGGAAGAAUAAGCACCGGCUAACUACGUGCCAGCAGCCGCGGUAAUACGUAGGGUGCAAGCGUUAAUCGGAAUUACUGGGCGUAAAGCGUGCGCAGGCGGUUUGCUAAGACCGACGUGAAAUCCCCGGGCUCAACCUGGGAACUGCAUUGGUGACUGGCAGGCUAGAGUAUGGCAGAGGGGGGUAGAAUUCCACGUGUAGCAGUGAAAUGCGUAGAGAUGUGGAGGAAUACCGAUGGCGAAGGCAGCCCCCUGGGCCAAUACUGACGCUCAUGCACGAAAGCGUGGGGAGCAAACAGGAUUAGAUACCCUGGUAGUCCACGCCCUAAACGAUGUCAACUAGUUGUUGGGGAUUCAUUUCCUUAGUAACGUAGCUAACGCGUGAAGUUGACCGCCUGGGGAGUAC